CAGCACCUCAAGUGGUCAGGAUGAUUAUUGGGCCUAAAACAUCCGUAGCCGGCGCUGUAAGUUUUCGGUUAAAUCUGUACGCUCAACGUACAGGCUGCCGGGAAUACUGCAGCGCUAGGGAGUGGGAGAGGUAGACGGUACUCGGUAGGAAGGGGUAAAAUCCUUUGAUCUAUUGAUGACCACCUGUGGCGAAGGCGGUCUACCAGAACACGUCCGACGGUGAGGGAUGAAAGCUGGGGGAGCAAACCGGAUUAGAUACCCGAGUAGUCC
Molecule: ribosomal RNA, 270 nt
Filed under: uncultured archaeon
Lineage: Archaea
Description: partial 16S ribosomal RNA
Rfam family: Archaeal small subunit ribosomal RNA
Source: RNAcentral